GUAGUCCCAGAGGAAGAUGGUUCUUGGAAAAUUUUUAAAAUUAAACGCUGUUUUUUUGAAACUGAUGAUUAUAGCAAAGCACAAAGGCAAAUCAAACAAGCACAGAUAACGUCUGAUUGUCAAAGUGAAGUUGAGGAGGUUUUGCCAUUAAAGAGAACAAUCCAUAAACCGAAAAAAUUAAUAUACAGCAGCAGUGAUGAUGAGGACGAGGUUUUAUCUGAGAAGCAUAAACUUCCACCACCACCAAAGAUUGUCAGAUUAAAUAACAAGGCAAAUAAUGAUGAAGCAUCAUCUUCAUCAUCACAAACGUCAAAAAGUAUCCAACAAAGUGCAGCAUCUGAUACACUGAAUUCUUUUAAUGGUGAUCCUCAAACAUCGUACAGUAGUCCAUCUCAUUCAACAAAUAUAUUUAGAUCAUUUUCGAAUAGUACUCCAACUAUAUCAACUGUAAUUGAAAAUAGUUUUCAAGAUAGUAUC
Camponotus floridanus (Florida carpenter ant) is the source of this 477-nucleotide long non-coding RNA. RefSeq lists it as uncharacterized. The transcript is spliced from 3 exons. NCBI's taxonomy places the organism in Eukaryota, Metazoa, Arthropoda, Insecta, Hymenoptera, Formicidae. The record is from RefSeq and is a predicted model, not a curated record.